GGUUCGGACCCGAGGAACCGAGGACCUCAGCAGUGAGAAAGCUGCUUCAGAGUCAUUAGAGCUUCAGCCAGAGGUGAGUGGAAUAAUUCUUUACGUUUCAAAGCAAAUAAAUAAAUUUUGAGCAUGAUACAUGCAUCACGUAUGCCAUGAGAUAUACUAGGAUUGUUUGCAUUAGAAUUCACGAAUAUGUUGCAUUGCAUUUUUUAUGUUGAUGUGGGUGGAUGUUGAAUGAUCCUUUAGUCCUCGUAUGAUAUAAUAUGAUGAUGAUACGGUAUGGAAGACCAGUAAGGCCCAUUCUACGCCCCUGGCACAGUUGAAAUGUUAUGUUAUGUUAUGCUAUGGUAAGAGAAAGACCAGUGAGGCCCAUUCUACGCCCCUGGCACGAUUGGACUAUGUAGAGGACUAUUGGUGACAAGUCCAUCCUUGAUGUGAUUUGUUUGUGAUGUGUUGCAUUUCAUGAAAGCAUGAAAUUUAAAUGGAAUGUUUAUUUAUUCUACUCACUGGGCUUUAUAGCUCACCCCUCUCCCUUAACCCCCAGGUUUGCAGGUACAGGGUAAACCAGGAGGUCAGCAGGAGUAGAGUCAUGUUGUAUGUAAUAGAUAGAAGUGGACAUGAAUAUGAUUAUGAUGUAAUGUAAAAGUACAGUAUAGAAAUGUAAUGUAAUGAUGC
This 669-nucleotide long non-coding RNA is filed under the name Manihot esculenta (cassava). RNAcentral's name for it is "long non-coding RNA (MESC_LNC012775)". Lineage: Eukaryota; Viridiplantae; Streptophyta; Magnoliopsida; Malpighiales; Euphorbiaceae. The record is from RNAcentral.